Molecule: non-coding RNA, 441 nt
Organism: Cyanistes caeruleus (blue tit)
Lineage: Eukaryota; Metazoa; Chordata; Aves; Passeriformes; Paridae
Source: RefSeq, a predicted model, not a curated record
CCCAUAUGGGAUAUUCACAUUCAUUCUCAGGCUGUAGAAUGUUCAUCUCCUCUUACUGGGCAUAGCUGGUUCAACUGCACUGACAUGGGAGGGGGUUUCAUGUCUUAGAAGGGCUCAUAAACCAUCAAAGAUGCCCAAAGCACCCCCCAACUCAUUUCUGGGGCCUUCCAGCAGGGGUCUGUGCAUGAUCCACAGUGCUGCAACAGACAACGAAGGAAUUCCUGACUGCAACCAUGACUUUGACAAACAGACAUCGAAACUGCAACAAUCAAGUCUCAUCAACAGGAAAUAGUAAGUGCAAGUGAAAGGAAGAUUGCCUCCUGGGGAUGUAGCUUACUUCAAAUGCCAGUGACUUCAUUCAAGAUACAGAAGGACAGUGGUUUCAUAAGAAAAUGAUAGGCAUUUCUUUCUUCUAUUUCUAACCAGCAUUUGGAAUAAUGC